RNAcentral lists this long non-coding RNA (1334 nucleotides) under Homo sapiens (human). Its description in RNAcentral is "non-protein coding lnc-AK6-6:1". The record is from RNAcentral. Lineage: Eukaryota; Metazoa; Chordata; Mammalia; Primates; Hominidae.
CGGCUGAGGAGUGCGGCAGCGCGCCAGAGACUGGCGGGCAGCUCCGCCCGCGGCCGGGAUGCACUAGGCAAAGCCAGCUGGGCUCCUGAGUCCGGUGGGUACUUGGAGAACUUACUACGUCUAGCUGGAGGAUUGUAAAUGCACCAAUCAGCAUGCUGUGUCUAGCUCAAGAACUCAAGCUCCAUGAGGAGAUGUUUCAUUGUCGAGAGCAGUCAUGAUGGCCUGCACUCCACACAAUGCAACAGAGUGAAAGAGCAGGUUCUGCUUCUUUGGUGUAGUCCUGAAGCUUCCUAAGAAACUUCACAUCAGGUGAUGGAUAGGAGCAACCCUGUAAAACCAGCCUUAGACUAUUUUUCAAACAGGCUGGUGAAUUACCAGAUCUCCGUCAAGUGCAGUAACCAGUUCAAGUUGGAAGUGUGUCUUUUGAAUGCAGAAAACAAAGUCGUGGACAACCAGGCUGGGACCCAGGGCCAGCUGAAGGUGCUGGGUGCCAACCUCUGGUGGCCGUACCUGAUGCACGAACACCCCGCCUACCUGUACUCGUGGGAGGAUGGUGAUUGCUCACACCAAAGCCUUGGACCCCUCCCAGCCUGUGACCUUUGUGACCAACUCCACCUACGCAGCAGACAAGGGGGCUCUGUAUGUGGAUGUGAUCCGUGUGAACAGCUACUACUCUUGGUAUCGCAACUACGGGCACCUGGAGUUGAUUCAGCUGCAGCUGGCCGCCCAGUUUGAGAAUUGGUGUAAGACAUCACAAUCCCAUUAUUCAGAGCGCGUAUGGAGUGGAAACGCUUGUAGGGCUUCACCAGUCUUUCCCAGGGAACUCCGAUGAAGUGUUCCAACAAAAUGAGCGAGUGAACCAAGAAGAGGAUGACAUUAGAUCCAGGAGAUACAACAGAGGAGAUAAUCUCCAGGAUGCCUGUGAAGAAAGAUCCCUGGAUCCCAGGAUGAUUAUAGGACAAGUUGUUCAUAAUCCAGCAGGCCAGAAGACUUCCAGGGAAACUCAUUCAAGGAGGUGAAAAUGAUGGAUGACUCCUCCAAGAUGAAAAUGGACCAGCCGCAGUGGCUCACGCCUGUAAUACCAGCACUUUGGGAGGCUGAGGCAGGCGGAUCACUUGAGGUCAGGAGUUUGAAACUAGCCUGGCCAACGUGGCAAAACUCCAUCUCUAUUAAAAAUACAAAAAUUAGCCAAGCAUAGUGGUGCAUGCCUGUAGUCCCAGCUACUUGGGAUGCUGAGGCAGGAAGAAUUGCUUGAACCUGGGAGGCAGAGUCUACAGUGAGCCGAGAUCAUGCCACUGCACUCCAGCCUGGGGGACAGAGCCAGACUCCGUCUC